CCAAAUGGUUUUUUUUCUGAUUAUAUGUUGUUUCUAUUUUUCCGUGGAAAGACCCAUUGUUCUUGUUCUGAAUAUUAAUUUUGUUUUCAGUUUUUAAUUCUUUCCCCACUUUUAUUUCUUUGGUGUUAUAUUUGUUUCGCAUGAUGUCACCUAAAUGCAUGGAUGUGAUAUCGAAAAGUUAAUGCGCCUUUGAUGUUGGCCCUGUUUAACUGAAUACUUUUCUCUGCAGGAGUUAUCUCUUAAAACAUUGUUUUCCUUGUGAUUAUAUAUCCUAUGUAACUGUAAA
RNAcentral lists this long non-coding RNA (286 nucleotides) under Mytilus galloprovincialis (Mediterranean mussel). Lineage: Eukaryota; Metazoa; Mollusca; Bivalvia; Mytilida; Mytilidae. The record is from RNAcentral.